UGGUGUUUUAGCGUGGACUGCUUCCUCAU
Molecule: non-coding RNA, 29 nt
Filed under: Mus musculus (house mouse)
Lineage: Eukaryota; Metazoa; Chordata; Mammalia; Rodentia; Muridae
Source: RNAcentral